GAAUAAGCUUGGUUGGGUUGUUGCUGGCUCUUCGGAGCAUGUGCACGCCUAACACCAACCUUUUUACCACCUGUGCACCUUUUGUAGACCUGGAUAUCUCUCGAGGAAACUCGGUAUGAGGACUGCUGUGCGUCAAGCCGGCUUUCCUUACAUUUCCGGUCUAUGUUUUUAUAUACACCUUCAGCAUGUCUAUGAAUGUUAUUAUUGGGCUUAACUGUCCUAUAAACUUAUACAACUUUCAACAACGGAUCUCUUGGCUCU
RNAcentral lists this unclassified non-coding RNA (261 nucleotides) under rhizosphere metagenome. Its description in RNAcentral is "partial ribosomal RNA internal transcribed spacer region". The record is from RNAcentral.